This 1098-nucleotide ribosomal RNA is filed under the name Triticum aestivum (bread wheat). RNAcentral describes it as "partial small subunit ribosomal RNA". Lineage: Eukaryota; Viridiplantae; Streptophyta; Magnoliopsida; Poales; Poaceae. The record is from RNAcentral.
AUGGAUUUUGUCGAGGGGCUACCCAAAUCAGAGGGGUCUGAUGCCAUCAUGGUCGUCGUCGAUCGUCUGACCAAGUACGCACACUUCAUUCCGCUUCACCACCCCUUCACCGCGGCGCAAGUCGCCCGCGCAUUCUGGGAGCAUGUCAUCAAGCUGCACGGGGUUCCUCACUCCAUCGUCUCGGAUCGUGACAAGAUCUUCACGAGCGCCAUGUGGCGGGAACUGCUCGCCGCCGCGGGAACCAAGCUGCUCUAUUCCACGGCGUACCACCCGCAGACGGACGGCCAGACAGAACGUGUCAACCAGUGCCUCGAGAUGUACUUGCGAUGUGCGGUGCACGACACGCCGCGGCAAUGGCGCAAGUGGCUCCCUGCGGCAGAAUUCUGGUACAACUCCGCUCAUCAUUCCUCGCUCAAUUGUUCGCCGUUCAAGGCGCUGUACGGCAAGGAACCGAACCUGGGCGGUCUACCACACCUGAGCUCCACUCUGCACAAUCAAGCGGCGUCGCCGGAGCUGGACUGGACAGCACACACCGAGAUGCUGCGCGCCCAGCUCACGCGCGCCCAAGCUCGCUUCAAGAAGCAAGCCGAUCGUCACCGCGCGGAGCGCGCCUUCGACGUCGGCGAGAACGUGCUCCUCAAACUGCAGCCGUACGCGCAGUCGACCGUCGCCAACCGCCCGUGCCGCAAGCUCUCCUACAAGUUCUUCGGCCCUUUUGAAGUGACAGAGCGGAUUGGAACCCUGGCAUAUCGCCUGCAGUUGCCUCCAGACAGCCGCAUCCAUCCGGUAUUUCACGUCUCCCAGCUCAAACCCUUCACUCCAGAUUACACUCCAGUCUUCGCCGAGCUGCCGCGGGUACCCGACCUCACUGGGGGUGACACGAAGCCAGUGGCGAUCUUGGAGCGGAGGAUGAUGAAGAAGGGCGAUGCACCGGUUGUGCAACUCCGUGUCCAGUGGGCAAACAUGCCAACUUCAGCCACCACUUGGGAAGAUUACACCGUUCUUCGCCAACGCUAUCCAUCAGCCUGCAUCUGGGAAGGAGCUUCAUCUCAAGGGGAGGACAAUGUCGCGCCUACUGAUGCAUCAGUGGCGGACUGA